CGUUUGACCUCGGAUCAGGUAGGGAUACCCGCUGAACUUAAGCAUAUCAAUAAGCGGAGGAAAAGAAACCAACAGGGAUUGCCCUAGUAACGGCGAGUGAAGCGGCAACAGCUCAAAUUUGAAAUCUGGCUCUUUUAGAGUCCGAGUUGUAAUUUGCAGAGGGCGCUUUGGCUUUGGCAGCGGUCCAAGUUCCUUGGAACAGGACGUCACAGAGGGUGAGAAUCCCGUACGUGGUCGCUGGCUAUUGCCGUGUAAAGCCCCUUCGACGAGUCGAGUUGUUUGGGAAUGCAGCUCUAAAUGGGAGGUAAAUUUCUUCUAAAGCUAAAUAUUGGCCAGAGACCGAUAGCGCACAAGUAGAGUGAUCGAAAGAUGAAAAGCACUUUGGAAAGAGAGUCAAACAGCACGUGAAAUUGUUGAAAGGGAGGCGCUUGCAGCCAGACUUGCUUGCAGUUGCUCAUCCGGGCUUUUGCCCGGUGCACUCUUCUGCAGGCAGGCCAGCAUCAGUUUGGGCGGUGGGAUAAAGGUCUCUGACACGUUCCUUCCUUCGGGUUGGCCAUAUAGGGGAGACGUCAUACCACCAGCCUGGACUGAGGUCCGCGCAUCUGCUAGGAUGCUGGCGUAAUGGCUGUAAGCGGCCCGUCUUGAAACACGGACCAAGGAGUCUAACAUCUAUGCGAGUGUUUGGGUGUCAAGCCCGAGCGCGUAAUGAAAGUGAACGGAGGUGGGAACCCGCAAGGGUGCACCAUCGACCGAUCCUGAAGUUUACGGAAGGAUUUGAGUAAGAGCAUGGCUGUUGGGACCCGAAAGAUGGUGAACUAUGCUUGAAUAGGGUGAAGCCAGAGGAAACUCUGGUGGAGGCUCGCAGCGGUUCUGACGUGCAAAUCGAUCGUCAAAU
Molecule: ribosomal RNA, 895 nt
Filed under: uncultured Ascomycota
Lineage: Eukaryota; Fungi; Ascomycota
Description: eukaryotic LSU rRNA
Rfam family: Eukaryotic large subunit ribosomal RNA
Source: RNAcentral